UUCACUGCAGUCCAGUGGUUAGGACUUCACACUUUCACUGCCAAGGGCCCAGGUUCAACCCCUGGUGGAGGAA
RNAcentral lists this transfer RNA (73 nucleotides) under Ovis aries (sheep). It matches the Rfam family "tRNA". From Rfam's summary of the family: Transfer RNA (tRNA) molecules are approximately 80 nucleotides in length. Their secondary structure includes four short double-helical elements and three loops (D, anti-codon, and T loops). Lineage: Eukaryota; Metazoa; Chordata; Mammalia; Artiodactyla; Bovidae. The record is from Rfam by way of RNAcentral.